RNAcentral lists this ribosomal RNA (253 nucleotides) under uncultured bacterium. Its description in RNAcentral is "partial 16S ribosomal RNA". It matches the Rfam family "Bacterial small subunit ribosomal RNA", at positions 524 to 776 of the family's 1533-position model. The record is from RNAcentral.
UACAGAGGUCUCAAGCGUUGCUCGGAAUCAUUGGGCGUAAAGCGCACGUAGGCGGUUCGUUAUGUCGGAUGUGAAAGCCCUUGGCUUAACCGAGGAAGUGCAUCCGAAACUGGCGAGCUAGAGUACGAAAGAGGAUCGCGGAAUUCCCGGUGUAGAGGUGAAAUUCGUAGAUAUCGGGAGGAACACCGGUGGCGAAGGCGGCGAUCUGGGUCGAUACUGACGCUGAGGUGCGAAAGCGUGGGGAGCAAACAGG